UGUUAAAAAAAUAUUUUUUUCUACUAUUAAAAACUGGCAUGAUUGACACCAUAACAAAAUAAUGACACGUGAUGUGUCAUGUGUACCUCAUGUUGAUGUACAGUAACUAGUUUUUAACAUUAGAAAUGGAAAAAAUUUUAACA
Molecule: non-coding RNA, 143 nt
Organism: Gossypium hirsutum (cotton)
Lineage: Eukaryota; Viridiplantae; Streptophyta; Magnoliopsida; Malvales; Malvaceae
Source: Rfam